CGCCCACGCCCACGCCCCCGCCGCGCCGCGGCGCCGGGGGCAGCGGCCGGGCGGC
RNAcentral lists this non-coding RNA (55 nucleotides) under Nomascus leucogenys (northern white-cheeked gibbon). The record is from RNAcentral. Lineage: Eukaryota; Metazoa; Chordata; Mammalia; Primates; Hylobatidae.